CGGACGGGUGAGUAAUGUCUGGGAAACUGCCCGAUGGAGGGGGAUAACUACUGGAAACGGUAGCUAAUACCGCAUAACGUCGCAAGACCAAAGAGGGGGACCUUAGGGCCUCUUGCCAUCGGAUGUGCCCAGAUGGGAUUAGCUAGUAGGUGGGGUAAUGGCUCACCUAGGCGACGAUCCCUAGCUGGUCUGAGAGGAUGACCAGCACACUGGAACUGAGACACGGUCCAG
Molecule: ribosomal RNA, 231 nt
Filed under: uncultured bacterium
Lineage: Bacteria
Description: partial 16S ribosomal RNA
Rfam family: Bacterial small subunit ribosomal RNA
Source: RNAcentral